GUUGGCGGCGUGGAUUAGGCAUGCAAGUCGAGCGGGAUUCUAUUUUUUCAAUUCUUCGGAAGAGAAGUUAUAGAUGAGAGCGGCGAACGGGUUAGUAAUAAAUGGGUAAUUUGCCUCUUUGUUCGGAAUAGCCACCGGAAACGGUGAUUAAUGCCGGAUGUGUUCGGGAACUGCAUAGUUCCUUAUAUAAAGGCGGGGAUUCUUCGGAACCUGUCGCAAAGAGAUAAGCCCAUUUCCUAUCAGCUUGUUGGUGAGGUAAUGGCUCACCAAGGCUUACGGGUAGUUGGUCUGAGAGGAUGAUCAGCAACACUGGGACUGAGACACUGCCCAGACUCCUACGGGAGGC
This 346-nucleotide ribosomal RNA is filed under the name uncultured bacterium. Its description in RNAcentral is "bacterial SSU rRNA". It matches the Rfam family "Bacterial small subunit ribosomal RNA", at positions 35 to 349 of the family's 1533-position model. The record is from RNAcentral.